GACGAACGCUGGCGGCGUGCUUAACACAUGCAAGUCGAACGGAAAGGCCCUGCUUUUGUGGGGUGCUCGAGUGGCGAACGGGUGAGUAACACGUGAGUAACCUGCCCUUGACUUUGGGAUAACUUCAGUAAACUGGGGCUAAUACCGGAUAGGAGCUCCUGCUGCAUGGUGGGGGUUGGAAAGUUUCGGCGGUUGGGGAUGGACUCGCGGCUUUCAGCUUGUUGGUGGGGUAGUGGCUUACCAAGGCUUUGACGGGUAGCCGGCCUGAGAGGGUGACCGGCCACAUUGGGACUGAGAUACGGCCCAGACUCCUACGGGAGGCAGCAGUGGGGAAUAUUGCACAAUGGGCGGAAGCCUGAUGCAGCAACGCCGCGUGCGGGAUGACGGCCUUCGGGUUGUAAACCGCUUUCGCCUGUGACGAAGCGUGAGUGACGGUAAUGGGUAAAGAAGCACCGGCUAACUACGUG
This 467-nucleotide ribosomal RNA is filed under the name uncultured bacterium. Its description in RNAcentral is "partial 16S ribosomal RNA". It matches the Rfam family "Bacterial small subunit ribosomal RNA", at positions 28 to 507 of the family's 1533-position model. The record is from RNAcentral.